AUCCAGGCACAAAGAACUGAAGAAGGAUGUAUAGGAAGGGAGGAAGGAAGAGGCUGGGAUUGUUACCCAGAGCUCCCAAAGCAGGCUUUAAAGUGGGGUGAUAAAAUUCAAGAGAGGAUACUGAUGAAGUCCCUCAAACCUGAGUCUGAACAAGUCAGCAGAGCUCAGCUUUCAGGAACAAAUGAGAAUAACAUCCAUGUUGCUACUGAGAUAUGAAAGUCAACACAACCUGAUACAAAAUGGUGAUAGUAAUGAAAGACCAGGUGACAUUUCAGGCUGACAUUCCAGACUAGCAUUUUAGUGAUGUUUACAAAAAUUUUAGUUUAAGAAUAUUGAACAAAGAUUUUGCAGAGUUGGUCUCGAGUCUGGGACUGUUUACAGUGGAUUAAAUCAAGUAUAUCUCACCUUAGUUUCUAGAGGAAAUCAUCAGAGACAAGCUCCUAGACACUGUUUCUCAGACUGUGUUUUACAGCUCUUUAGUGAUCAUAAAUGAGUGACAAAAACCACACUGCCUCAGACUUAUUUGGAACAGCUCUGUCCUCCAACACUGGCCUGAGUAAUUUGAACUAGUUCUCCUCCCUCUGCCCCAGCUGAGCAGAGCUGCUGCCAGGAACAAAAAGUGCAGGUGCUGUAGGGAUUAUGAGAGUGGGACGAAGGGAGAGGAAAAGAGAGUUAUGGUAAGAGACUGGAGCCCAACUCACAGAAGUUCAAGAAAUAAUGUCAUAAAGAAAUGAAAAUGCUUUAGGUUUCACUGCAUUAGUGCAAGGAUUAAUUGAAAAUGUCCUAGUUAUAAUUAUUACAUUGCAAGAAAGCAGAAUAAUACUGGGACCUGAGAUCAGCAACAACACAGAACAAUAUCUUGCAUUCCUCUCUAUCCACUGAGCCACAGCAUUGAACCAUCAUGGAACAAACCUGGCCACCCUACUUCAGCUAUAGGAACAUUCUGCUAAUUUGGUUUAACCCCAAAUAAGUAACAAACAGCUACUCACUGAUUCUCUUCCCAGUGGGACGAACAAAAGAAUUGGAAGGGCAAAAAUGAGAACACUUGUGGAUUAAGAUGAGAACAUUUUAAUAAUUGAAACAAAAUAUUAUAAGAAUUAACAAUAAGAAUAAAAAAAAUCAUUAGAAAGAAUUGUUUUUAAAA
RNAcentral lists this long non-coding RNA (1144 nucleotides) under Parus major (Great Tit). Its description in RNAcentral is "lncRNA (ENSPMJG00000011445.1)". Lineage: Eukaryota; Metazoa; Chordata; Aves; Passeriformes; Paridae. The record is from RNAcentral.